Molecule: ribosomal RNA, 496 nt
Filed under: uncultured bacterium
Lineage: Bacteria
Description: partial 16S ribosomal RNA
Rfam family: Bacterial small subunit ribosomal RNA
Source: RNAcentral
GAUGAACGCUGGCGGCGUGCCUAAUACAUGCAAGUCGAGCGAACAGACGAGGAGCUUGCUCCUCUGACGUUAGCGGCGGACGGGUGAGUAACACGUGGAUAACCUACCUAUAAGACUGGGAUAACUUCGGGAAACCGGAGCUAAUACCGGAUAAUAUAUUGAACCGCAUGGUUCAAUAGUGAAAGACGGUUUUGCUGUCACUUAUAGAUGGAUCCGCGCCGCAUUAGCUAGUUGGUAAGGUAACGGCUUACCAAGGCAACGAUGCGUAGCCGACCUGAGAGGGUGAUCGGCCACACUGGAACUGAGACACGGUCCAGACUCCUACGGGAGGCAGCAGUAGGGAAUCUUCCGCAAUGGGCGAAAGCCUGACGGAGCAACGCCGCGUGAGUGAUGAAGGUCUGCGGAUCGUAAAACUCUGUUAUUAGGGAAGAACAAAUGUGUAAGUAACGAUGCACGUCUGGACGGUACCUAAGCAGAAAGCCACGGCUAACUACGU